CAUGUUGGAACCACUGUCUGUGUUGCAACUUCGAAUACGUUCUGGUAUGUCAUGGCUAUGUUCUAUUUCUCGCGUAAUACUUUAAUUAAAAUACUUUAUUCCUGAUAGAUUAAAAUUAUGAAUGUGUAGGCAUGUUCUAUUGCAACACUAACAGAUUAUUUUAAGACCUUUGACAUCGUUGUUAUGUACUUGCCUUGGUGCCACCAUCAUGGCGGCAUGAAGGUGGUUUUCUUACUUCUGUUUUGUUGUCACAAAUAGUUUUGCGGUCUAGUUAAAUUCAUCAAUGCAUUUUUAGAACAAUGUUUGUGGUUUGAAAAGAAACAGGACACUUCUAGUGUUCUAAUGAAAGUUUUCUCUAAAAAUAAUACAGCAUAACAAAUAAUUUAAUAGAUUAUACAACAACAUUGAACUAUUUCUUAUGUCAAAACAUAUUUUCUUUACAGUCAAUAUGAUGCUGUUUACCAUUGAUGAUGUUCGAUUACUAGUGAAGGCAAAUGGAUGAGAAGAAAGAGGCUUGCGGUUAUCUUCAAGCCCAGGCCAGUAAAAUGGCGUAAGAAAUGGAGAACCUGUAGAUGCAGGGUGUUGGCGGACCCAAGACCACUGCUGCUGGACCACCCAGACGAAGAACAGACACUUCCAACAUUCCCUCACCUCAUCCCGUGAUCAAGUCCUUGCCAGUGUGGACUAAGUUUGCCCCCAGUCAAACUGAUUGAAGAAAAUUCGCCGCAGCCGCAAACCUCUUGUGGUUAUUCCAUGAAAAUUGAUUUGGAAUUCGAUCAAGUGCUGCCGAAUUUGGAUCGUGGAUCGCAUCAUUCCUUUGGCUGAAGAAGAUCUCUGUUUUCUCAGAUGACCCGGUCCGUUCACAGCUCACAAAUCUGGUCCAGGAUCAACUCGCUUAUUCAUGCCAUUUGGGGACUCCUUGGCCGAAUUUUCCGAUCUCGUACCAAAUGAAGUUGUUGUUCACCAUUCGACAUCGGAAAUCACCACAGUUCCAGUGAUCGGUAAAAGAUUGAUUUAUCCUAUUUUAUUUGAAAUUGUCAC
RNAcentral lists this long non-coding RNA (1041 nucleotides) under Daphnia pulex (common water flea). RNAcentral's name for it is "uncharacterized LOC124194923, transcript variant X3". Lineage: Eukaryota; Metazoa; Arthropoda; Branchiopoda; Diplostraca; Daphniidae. The record is from RNAcentral.